RNAcentral lists this ribosomal RNA (165 nucleotides) under uncultured bacterium. RNAcentral's name for it is "partial 16S rRNA". It matches the Rfam family "Bacterial small subunit ribosomal RNA", at positions 355 to 511 of the family's 1533-position model. The record is from RNAcentral.
UAGGGAAUCUUCGGCAAUGGGGGCGAACCCUGACCGAGCAACGCCGCGUGAGUGAGAAGGUUUUCGGAUCGUAAAGCUCUGUUGUAAGAGAAGAACGUGUGUGAGAGUGGAAAGUUCACACAGUGACGGUAACUUACCAGAAAGGGACGGCUAACUACGUGCCAG